UAAAAUAAAUUUAAAAUAAAUUUUAAUUCAUGUUAUUAUUCCAUCAAAAAUUUAGCAACAGUAGAAUUAUGUUAUAACAAACUUAUAACAAUCUUAAUCAAUAAUUGAUUAGGCUCAUCUAAUCUAAUCAAAAUCAGAUCAAAAAUUUUAUAUAAAUAGAUUUAAAUUAGAUUUAAUAUCUCACAAAAAAUUUUAAUUAUAUCUUAUGAAAUUAAUCUCAAAAAAUUUAGAUAUGCAUGCAUAUAUUUCAGACUAGCUCUGAUACUAAUUAAAGAGAAGGGAAAUUGUUUCUCUUCGGAUGACCCAGGUUGCAUCUAAAAAUUAUUUUAUUAACCUAUAUGAAUAAGAAUCAAAUCUUUACUUGAUUAGCAAUAGAACCAGAGAUCAAAUAUCAAAUAAUCUAAAUUAAAUCUUCACGGAGGUCUAGAAGUGUAGAUCAUCUACUUCGCAUGCACACCAGACGUCGCAGGAAAGCAGGAUGAACUCUGAUCGAAUCACCUUUGCAACCUAAUCAAAUGAUGAAAGAGAUAUGCUAUUGUGACACCUCACACCAGUAGGUGGGAUGCCCAAGGAGGGCCCAUGCCCAAGGGAAGACGGGCGGCACCAAAAGGAAAGAGGCUAAGGAGAAGAAGAAGGGCUUCUCUCUUCUUUGCCUCUCUCUCUCUCUCUUUCUCUUUUCUCUCGAUCUGAUUUGUUUGCUAUGCAUCCAUAAGUAGAGAUCCUCUCUAUUUAUAGAUGAUUCUCAUGAUUCAAUAAGUAUAGGAGUCCUAACUUAAAUCUGAUUUGAAUCGAUCCAAUACUCAUAAAAGAAAGAUUUCUACAUGAGAUAGAAUUGCUAUCACAUAUGACAACCACUUUGCACACAAUCCCUCACCCACAUGGGAUGCCCCAAACUAGCACCAUUCUAGGUGUUGGUCGGCUCACAUGAGAGAAGAAUCUAAAGGAUUUCUCAUAUCUCAUCCAAAAUGGAUCUGAUUCGAAUUCAAUUAGAAACUGGUUCGAAAUAAUUUCGAAAGGCUGUCAAUCCCAAAUUUUUUAAGACUUUUAUACCAAGUUUAACUUAAAUUUUGGAUCCAAUUAAAUUUAAUUAAUUCAAAUUUAAUUUAAAAUUAAUCAAUAUUUAAAUUUAAUCUUUCAAAUACUCCAUGGAUCAUAGAUCAAAAACUGUUCAUCCCCAGGAUUGAAUCUGAACCUCAUAUGUAGUACUAGUUAGACAUAGUCAAUUCUUCAAUCCCGUUUGACUCAUAACUUAAUUCUCAAUCAAGUUAGCUUAUAUGUUCAAUCAAGUCAAGUACUUUCAAAUUGAAUUUAUAAAUAUAAAUCAAUUAUUUCUUACUUUGUUUGAUUUGUGUGCGUAGCUCUAUAAGUUCAAACACUAAGUCAGUAGCAUAGGAACCAAUUCCUGCACUAAUUAAAAUACCAUCUGGUAAUGAUUUUCAAUGUUCAGAUAGGUUAAAUUAUCACAAAAAAAUAUUUCAGAAUCCAUACACAUAGUUACCACAUAAUUCAUCCUUUUGACUUUGAAUGCUCUAGGAUGGUCUCAGGUUAACUGUCAAUCGAGAUUGCUUCAUCCACAUUAUAUUUCAACCUUUCAAAUCAUCUCAUAGAUUACUUUGAUCAAGACUUUACUAAAUUGAAAUACAGCGAUAUAUCAACUUCAAUAAUCUGGAGGGGUCAAUCCCAUCUUAAUCCACAUACAGACUUUGCAAGUACUUAGUGUAUCCAGUGGCCUUCCGUCACUUCAUUAAAAAUUCAGAUAGUCUGACAUCAAAGCAUUGUGAGUUGGUUGCAAGUUACUAUGAUGAUCUCAGAUCUGAAAGAUACUUAUAUCCAUAUGUUUCGUGAGCAGCUCUUGACAGUAGAACGCUCAGCAGGUGAGUUACCUGUUCAGUGACGAUGUACUUCUACGUCUCACCUGUAUGCCAUAUCAAUAUCACCAUACUCUUUGGUUAAAAAAAUAAUCAAUUCAUAUGGCACACAACGACCUUCACUCGAUAAAUGUCAUCAUCUUGUAAUGACGUAUCAUUUGAUCACAAACAUGUUUAAAAACUAUACGAUAAAUUCUCUCUUUAUCACACACUAACAUAGUUCUAAGAACUUCAUCAUAGCACAAGAGUUCAAAGAAGAUGUAACUUUGGGAUGAAAAAUGUCAUAAUAACUUUUAUUCAUUUAUCAAUUACUCAUAUACAAAGAGAAACUCAAUCGUUAUACGAUUGAUUUUAGGAUAUAAUUUUUAAUAAUAGGAGGAUAUAUUGUUUAGUCUUUAAACCUUAAGUUCAUGACCAAAUGAUAUACUAUUAUUAGGACAAUAGCUAUAUCAAGUAUAGGUCGUUAUGUGCCAUGUACGUUGGUUGUCUUCAUAACCAAAGAGUGUGGAGAUAUUAGUAUGGCAUACAAGUAAGAUAUAGGAGUACAUCUCUUUGAACAUGUUCAACUGCUGAGCAUUCUACUGUCAAGAGUAGCUCAUGAAGGAUAUCGAUAUAAGUGUCCCUUUGACCUGAGAUCAUCACAGUGACUUGCAAGCAACUCAUUAUGCUUUAGUGCUAAACUAUCUAAAUUUUUAAUUCAGUGAUGAAAGAUUUCUGAGUACAGUCAAGUAUUUGAGAAGUCAGUGUAUGAGUCAAGAUGGAAUUGACCCCUCUGAAUAAGUAGGAGUUAAUGUAUCAGUAUGUUUUAAUUUAAUAAAAUCUCGAUCGGAGUAAUCUAUAUGAUGGAUUUUAAAAAUUAAAAUAUAAUGUAGAUGACCAUAUCAAGGUUGACAGUUAAACUCUAGGUCACCUUAAGUAUUUAGGUCAAAAGGAUAAAUUAUACGGUUACCAUAUGCCAAUAGUUCUUGAAUGAUGCUUCACAAUCUUUCGACCUAUCCGAACGUCAGGUAUCAUUGCUAGAUGGUCACUUUGAUUGGUAUAAGAAAAUUAUUCCUAUACUACCGACUUAGGUUCGAAUCUAUGGGGUCACAUUCAAAAAAUUUUUUUGAUUGAUCAUAUGACUGAUCGAUGAUUAAAAAUUAUUCUAGGAUAAAAUAGUCAAUUCGAUUGAUGAUUAAUCAUGUGCAAAAGUUACAAUAAAUUAAUUCACUGAUUGUUGAUGAAUUAUAGGAGGAUUGAUUAGUAAUUAGAAUACUAAUUAGCUUAAUUUGAUUGAACAUUGAGGUUUGGAUCAAAUCUGACUAAAUUGGAUUCAAUUUGGUUUGACCUAAUUAGGUUAUGAGAUAAUCUAAUCGCUAAGGAUGUUCGAUUCCUGAUUUGAUGAGGACUCGAGCUCGAUUAAUUUUUAAUUUAAUUAAAAUUAUUUUUUAUAUAAUUAGAUUAGAUUUAGUGAUCCAAUUGGAUCUAACCUAAUUUGGUUGGGUUAAGAAUUUAACUGGAUGAGAAAAUAAUGCGAAUUUAAAUUUCUUGCGCCUCCUUUCUCUAUGCCCUCUUAUUCUUCAUGCAAAAAAUUUUUUUAUAUAAAUUUUUUUCAUACCCAAAGGUUUUUCUAUAUUUAUAUCUAAUUAUUUUUAAAUUAAAAAUUAAUUGAUUUAAAUUUGAGUUCAAAUAGGUUUGAAUUUGAAUGAAAAUCUAGAGUCCAAAUUAUGUUGGACUCUUCUCUUCAUGCCAUAACCUUUCUCCAUGCAUAAAGUAUUUUUGCAUGAGAUUUUUUACACCAUUAUAAUAUUGGUCGACCCCUCUCUAAGUUCAUAAUAUGAGGAUAAAAGUUUGAUUCAAAAUUUAAUUCAAAUUUAAUUUGAAUUGGUGAUAAGGAUCAACCAACAUUUGAAAUUGAAUCAAAAUUAUCUUUUCCUUAUCCAUAUCUUCCAUAGGACGCCACCCUUAAGAAGGGAUUAGUUUUGCAUGAGAUUAGAAGUGAUUUUUGGCAUGAGAAACUUAAGAGUUUGGGUAUGAAAAGUUGAGAGUGGGUUGGGCUUUCGUGCAUGAGAAACAAAGGAAGUGUUCUUCCUCUCAGACGUGAGGUGUAGGGUCUAGGGUUUCAACUCUAGAUUUUGUGAGAAGAAAAAUACAAGAAUGAGUCUUGUUCAAUCUUUCAUACUACCACCUCCUUAUAACGCUUCAUCUUCUGAUCUGAAAGAGUCCGAGAGAUCCGAAGAAAUGAGCUUGGAUCAGACAUCUAGAGUCUUCGACAUGAGUUAGCACUCUCACGAAGGAAGAUCUGAUCAGGACUUCGAGUGGACGAUCUGUACGACUGUUCGAUAUCAGUGAGAGCUUCAUACCAUACCUAUCAGUAGUGAAGAUCAUUAACCCAUAAAAAGAUGAUGAGUUCUGAACUCAAUCGAUGUGAUCUAAAAGUUAGAUCAGAUUCCGGACAUCAAUGUGAUCGAUACAGUUUUCUAUUUUAUAUCAGAUUUUAUAUGUAAAUUUUUUAUAUCAUAGAUCCUUAAUUGUUAGUUUAGAUCUGAUCCAAGGCAUGUUUAAAAGAUUAAAAUAUUUAAUAUUUUAUUUUUUACUAUAAAAUUUUAAAAAUACAUGCUUUAAACUAUUCAUUUUUCCUUCAUAUAUAAAUAACUAAAGCUCCGAGGAUCAAGAUAAGCUUAGUAAUUCUUCUUAGAGAACUCGUUGCUACUUCUUCAUUCUCUGAAUCUGACUUGAGUAUCAGAGGAUCCUUAUCGAAGCGAAAAUCUUCAGUUUGGACUUGUUUCGUAGGUCACUCCAGUAUCAGCAUCCCUACGUGAGGCUCAAUCAUCCUCUUUCGACCUCGAUCGAAUCAAGCAGCAACAGAUAGAGGAAGAGCAUAAUCAUCAUUAUGCCUCUAAAACAAGCAUCAUCUCGGCUCUAAUGCCACUGCCUCUCGUCAGAUGGAGAGCCAAGCCAACAGUCGGGUACAAUAAUCAACGAUCAAGACUCCUUUGUCAGCCCAGCCGACGUUGGUCCCGGUGGCUCAAUUCAACCUGCUCCUCCAAUAGGUCCGAAACUUGAUGAUAGCUAUUCAAGUAGUUCAAACUAUUCUUACACCUCUCCUAACGAUGUAGCAACCUACUCAGGCUGCCCCUGCACCCCUUUCAGUGGUGCAACCGAUGAUUAUCUUGGCAGCACCAUUGGCGCUUCCUGUCAUGGCGCCCCACCAAAUCCCACUCCACACUCGGCUCCUCAACCAUCAUUACAGUCAAAGUUGCAUGUGCCUCCUCAGAGUCGGAGAGGAGACAGGCUCAUCAGAGCCAUCUCAGGGCCCAACAACCGUUCAGAUGGCGAUCUCCUAGUCUAUGAUCGGGGCACGAUUCAACUCCUGAUCGCCAUUCUUCGCAGCAUUUCGAGGCCUGCACUAUCUGAGAUCUCGAUAUCGAAAGGCAGUUUCAAAUGCUUGGCAAGCAGAUGGAAAAGAAGAUUGAGAAUGCUCUCAAUAAUAACCACUUCUCGACAUAGCCCUAUGAGGGGUUUAAGGGCGAGCUAUCCUUUGCGUCGAGGAUAGUGCAGGAGCCACUCCCUCGAUACUUCAAGCUACCCCAGCUAGAGAUUUACGAUGGGACUGCUGACCCCGUCAACCAUAUGGAGACUUUCAAGAUGGUGAUGCUCCUUCAGAGAGCAUUUAACGUUAUCAUCUGCCGAAUGUUUUCUCUUACCCUCAAAGGGGCCGCCCGACAGUGGUAUUCAAGUUUGAAGCCGACAUCCAUCCACUCUUUCAAAGAGUCAUGUCGGGCAUUCAUCAGUUAUUUUGUCAGUAGCCAAUAACAGCAGAAACGAUCCAACUACCUCCACACCAUCAAGUAGAAGGAGGGCGAGUCGAUAUGUGUUUUCGUCAAUCAUUUUAAUACGGCAACCUUAGAGGUCUGUGAUUUGGACCAGUCGAUCGUGAUGGCCACAAUGAUGGGUGGCCUACUGAAGAAUAAUUUGAAAAAAUUAUUGACGAAGACUUAUCCUCGAGAUUUCUCAUAUAUGCUGGCCCGUAUGGAGAAGUAUGCUCGCAUGGAGGAGGUCUUUGCUAAGGAGACCCCUGCCAGUUCUGUUGCGGCAGGACAGAAUAAGGAGCACCCUCCAAGGUGAUGCGUAGUCAUUGAUAGCACAAAAAAUAACUCUACUCACUAUGUAGGUAAGAUGAGUCAAGAUCGUAUCCUCAGGGACCUUGGGCUAAGUUGAGACUGCAAAAUAAAAGAAAGAAACGUGAUUUUUGAUUUAGAAAAUAAAUUAUCUUAAAAUUGAUGUAGUUAGAAAACAAAGAGCUCGGGAGUUUUGAAUUAAUUUCGCACUAGCAGAGUUGUAUCUCUUUUUUAAUUAAAUAUAUGCGAUUAAUCUUAGAAAAAAUACCUAUCUUUUCUCGGCACGCCCCGUACCCGUAGAUCACGGUGCAUCUCCGAAAAGUACUAGGUAAACAAUUCUUCUUUCCUCGGCACACCCUGUAUCCGUAGAUCACGGCGCGUCUCCGGAAAGUAAAAAUUGUUCCUACUAUUAAUCUAACAGGAAAGCAUAAAUAAAAGCAUAUGAAAGAGAGCAAAUAAAGAACUCAUGACAAUUUAAAUAAAAAGCAUAAUCUUCAUUACAUAUAAAGAAAUACAAGAAAGUUUAGAACAAUAAACCCGCUCUGUGUCGUUACAAAGUUUUUUCUCCACUCCCGAGACUGCUAGCCUAGCUGCUCAUGAAGUAGUCCCUUUUUUUUCUACGCAAGGCUCUAGAAGAAUUUCUGGGAUGUCCUCAAAAAGAAGUACAAGAGCCUUUUUAUAGGUGUUAGGAGGAAAGAGUUUUACAUGAUUUUUCGAUAUGAGACUAAAAAAAAUACUAAAGACCACGCAUCCGAAUGCCGCACCCGCGUCCGUGCCCGCCUGCAUGUCGUCCNNNNNNNNNNNNNNNNNNNNUAGAAAAUUUUUGACCUAAUCUAAUUCAAUACUUAAUUAAAUUUAACCAAUUUUUCUACUUGAUCCCUAUGUAUUUCUAACCCUAGGUCUAACUAUUAGAAGGACCUGAUUCAAGCUAACCCAUUGCCCAUCAUUUUAUGUGGUAUCUUAAUGAUUUUUAAUUCUCAAAUCUGGAUCAUUUAAACUUAAUUCAAAAUUAAGUGUGUGAAACAUUUAUUUUUGUCUAUAGUACUAUUCUAUUAAGAUUUCAGAUGAAGUAUAUCAUAUAUUUCAAUUUAUAAAAAUAAAUUUUCAUAAUAUGUUUAAUAAUUAAACAUAUAUAGGUAUGAUCUAAACUUCAUACAUACAUCUUACGCAUCAUGAUAACUUUUAGAUCAAUACAGUUACAUCUUAUGUAACAUACAAUUCAGAUUUAAAAUAAUUUUAUAUCUGAAUUUUAUCUUAUUAUAAUGAAUUAUAAAUUACUUUAGUUUUAAUCUAAAUAUAUUUAUGAUCAAAAUAAUUCAUAAAAAUCUGUUCACUUUUCUUCUUCAUGAAAUCUGAUCACAAUGACACCCCUACAUGUUAUAAGAGAACUCAUCGAAUAGGCAAAAGAAAGAUUAAUCUCUUCAAUCUUCUAUAACUGAAUGGUCUGAUGAUCUCAUCAAUCUGAGUACUAAGCUACUAAGAUCUGAAAUCUAAUUUCAUAUAUAAUUACAACAACAUGUAAUUAUAGAUAAAAUAAUUUUAUGUCAUGAACAUAUCUUUGAUCUUAUCAAUUAUGUUCUCAUCUAAUCUAAUUAGAUUUGAUGUAUCAUAUACAUUAUAUCAGAUUUGAAACAUAUCUUAUACUGAUUAUAAAAUAUUAAUUUUAGAUUUUAUAUCAUAUAAAAAAUUAUUUAUAUGCAAACAUAAAUGUAUAAGGAAUAAAUUUCUGAUAAAAUCUAUUUUCACAUAGUGUUGAAUUCUGAUAGGAUUCAGAUCUAAAUAUUUAUCAAAAUAUAUCUAAUUCAGAUCUAAAAUAAACCUCACUUUAUAAUUGAAAUAAUAAUAUUAAAAUUUUAUUAAAAUAAAUUUAAAAUAAAUUUUAAUUCAUGUUAUUAUUCCAUCAAAAAUUCAGCAACAGUAGAAUUAUGUUAUAACAAACUUAUAACAAUCUUAAUCAAUAAUUGAUUAGGCUCAUCUAAUCUAAUCAAAAUCAGAUCAAAAAUUUUAUAUAAAUAGAUUUAAAUUAGAUUUAAUAUCUCACAAAAAAUUUUAAUUAUAUCUUAUGAAAUUAAUCUCAAAAAAUUUAGAUAUGCAUGCAUAUAUUUCAGACUAGCUCUGAUACUAAUUAAAGAGAAGGGAAACUGUUUCUCUUCGGAUGACCCAGGUUGCAUCUAAAAUUUUUUUAUUAACCUACAUGAAUAAGAAUCAAAUCUUUACUUGAUUAGCAGUGGAACCAGAGAUCAAAUAUCAAGUAAUCUAAAUUAAAUCUUCACGGAGGUCUAGAAGUGUAGAUCAUCUACUUCGCAUGCACACCAGA
This 8285-nucleotide long non-coding RNA is filed under the name Elaeis guineensis (African oil palm). RNAcentral's name for it is "long non-coding RNA (EGUI_LNC003773)". The record is from RNAcentral. Lineage: Eukaryota; Viridiplantae; Streptophyta; Magnoliopsida; Arecales; Arecaceae.